CGAUGUGCAAAUUCCCGUGAUUGACCUCCACAGUCUUUUUUCUGGCCUGCCGCAGGAUGACUCGCUGCGCCAAGAAACCUUGGACAGCAUAGCCACUGCGUGUCGCGAGUGGGGCUUCUUCCAGGUGGUUAACCAUGGGGUUAGCCAUGAGCUCAUGGCCCGCACUCGGGAGGUGUGGCGCGAAUUCUUUCACCUUCCCUUGGAGGAGAAGCAGCAAUAUGCUAAUUCCCCGAGCACCUAUGAAGGUUACGGCAGCCGGCUCGGGGUGGAGAAAGGAGCAAAGUUGGAUUGGAGUGACUACUUCUUUCUUCAUUACCUUCCUACUUCCCUGAGGGACCAAA
RNAcentral lists this long non-coding RNA (341 nucleotides) under Coffea arabica (coffee). RNAcentral describes it as "long non-coding RNA (CARA_LNC004423)". Lineage: Eukaryota; Viridiplantae; Streptophyta; Magnoliopsida; Gentianales; Rubiaceae. The record is from RNAcentral.